This 460-nucleotide ribosomal RNA is filed under the name uncultured bacterium. Its description in RNAcentral is "partial 16S ribosomal RNA". It matches the Rfam family "Bacterial small subunit ribosomal RNA", at positions 338 to 795 of the family's 1533-position model. The record is from RNAcentral.
CCUACGGGAGGCAGCAGUGAGGAAUAUUGGUCAAUGGGCGCAAGCCUGAACCAGCCAAGUCGCGUGAGGGAAGACGGCCCUACGGGUUGUAAACCUCUUUUGCCGGGGAGCAAGCCUGAGCACGUGUGCCCAGGCGGAGAGUACCCGGAGAAAAAGCAUCGGCUCACUCCGUGCCAGCAGCCGCGGUAAUACGGAUGAUGCGCGCGUUAUCCGGAGUUAUUGGGGUUAAAGGGUGCGCAGGCGGGCUGUUAAGCCGGCGGUAAAAAUUCAGGGUCCAACCCUGUUGUGCCGUCGGAACUAGCAGUCGUGAGUGGGCGAGAAGUAUGCGGAAGGCGUGGUGUAGCGGUGAAAUGCAUAGAGAUCACGCAGAACGCCGAUUGCGAAGGCAGCAUACCGGCGCCCAACUGACGCUGAGGCACGAAAGCGUGGGGAUCGAACAGGAUUAGAUACCCUUGUAGUC